GACGAACGCUGGCGGCGUGCUUAACACAUGCAAGUCGAGCGGUAAGGCCCUUUCGGGGGUACACGAGCGGCGAACGGGUGAGUAACACGUGGGUGACCUGCCCUCAGCUCUGGGAUAAGCCUGGGAAACCGGGUCUAAUACCGGAUAUGACUCCAUGACGCAUGUUGUGGGGUGGAAAGCCUUGUGCGGCUGGAGGAUGGGCCCGCGGCCUAUCAGCUUGUUGGUGGGGUGANGGCCUACCAAGGCGACGACGGGUAGCCGGCCUGAGAGGGCGACCGGCCACACUGGGACUGAGACACGGCCCAGACUCC
This 311-nucleotide ribosomal RNA is filed under the name uncultured bacterium. Its description in RNAcentral is "bacterial SSU rRNA". It matches the Rfam family "Bacterial small subunit ribosomal RNA", at positions 28 to 339 of the family's 1533-position model. The record is from RNAcentral.